AGAGAGAGACAUGCGCGCAUAUCAAUAAGCGGAGGAAAAGAAACUAACAAGGAUUCCCUUAGUAACGGCGAGUGAAGCGGGAAGAGCUCAAAUUUGAAAUCUUCAAGGUUCUACCUUGACGAAUUGUAGUUUAUAGAAGUGUUUUCUGUUAGUAGGAGUGGCAAAAGUUCUUUGGAAUAGGACAUCAUAGAGGGUGAGAAUCCCGUAUUUGGUCAUUCCUCCUAGCUUUGUGAUACACUUUCAACGAGUCGGAUUGUUUGGGAAUGCAGUCCAAAAUGGGUGGUAAAUUUCAUCUAAAGCUAAAUAUUGGCGAGAGACCGAUAGCGAACAAGUACCGUGAGGGAAAGAUGAAAAGAACUUUGAAAAGAGAGUUAAACAGUACGUGAAAUUGUCAAAAGGGAAGCGUUUGACACCAGUGUUGUUUUUCCGAAAAUCAAUUACGAAUGUUUUAUUUUUGAGGAGUUAUGACUUCAUCGGCUUGCUCCUUUCUUUAUGAAACUUUCUUAAUGCACUUUUCGGUUAACAAGUCUACAUCAAUUUCUUUUGUUGUAAAAGGGUAUGAGGAAGGUGGCUUUUCUUUUCGGAGAAAGUGUUUAUAGCCUUGUACCUCUGCAAUCGGAGAGAUUGAGGUCUGCAGCGUAGAUCCUUCGGGGUUAGAUACAUUUGUGCUAAGUUAUAGCUUUUCAUAGACAACUUGUUGACUAUGUUUAGUCUUGUAGCUUACUCGCCUGACUGCUAUUUUACCUACGCUUAGGAUGUUGAUAGUCACAGCGUGUAC
Molecule: ribosomal RNA, 778 nt
Filed under: uncultured Neocallimastigales
Lineage: Eukaryota; Fungi; Neocallimastigomycota; Neocallimastigomycetes; Neocallimastigales
Description: partial large subunit ribosomal RNA
Rfam family: Eukaryotic large subunit ribosomal RNA
Source: RNAcentral